GGAAGAAGGUUUUCGGAUUGUAAACUUCUGUUAUUGGGGAAGAUAAUGGCGGUACUCAACAAGGAAGUACCGGCUAACUACGUGCCAGCAGCCGCGGUAACACGUAGGUCGCAAGCGUUGUCCGGAAUUACUGGGUGUAAAGGGAGCGCAGGCGGGAAGACAAGUUGGAAGUGAAAUCCAUGGGCUCAACCCAUGAACUGCUUUCAAAACUGUUUUUCUUGAGUAGUGCAGAGGUAGGCGGAAUUCCCGGUGUAGCGGUGGAAUGCGUAGAUAUCGGGAGGAACACCAGUGGCGAAGGCGGCCUACUGGGCACCAACUGACGCUGAGGCUCGAAAGUGUGGGUAGCAAACAAAAUUAGAUACCCUGGUAGUCCACGCCGUAACCGACCCCAUAAAAGAGUGUUGGAGGAUUGACCCCUUCUGUGCCGCAGUUAACACAAUAAGUAAUCCCCCUGGGGUGUCCGACCGCAAGGUUGAAACUCAAGGGAGUUGACGGGGGCCCCGCACAAGCCGUGGAGUAUGUGGUUUAAUUCGACGCAACGCGAAGACCCUUCCCAAGUCCUGACAUCCUGCGACGAUGCUGGAAACAGUAUUUUCCUCCGGGACGCAGAGACAGGUGGUGCAUGGUUGUCGUCAGCUCGUGUCGUGAGAUGUCGGGUCAAGUCCCGCAACGAGCGCAACCCUUACUGUCAGUUUCUACGCAAGAGGACUCUGGCAGGACUGCCGUUGACAAAACGGAGGAAGGUGGGGAUGACGUCAAAUCAUCCUGCCCCCUAUGACUUGGGCUACCCCCGUAGUACAAUGGGGUUAAACAAAGAGAAGCAAGACCGCGAGGCGGAGCAAAACUCAGAAACAACGUCCCAGUUCGGACUGCAGGCUGCAACUCGCCUGCACGAAGUCGGAAUUGCUAGUAAUCGUGGAUCAGCAUGCCACGGUGAAUACGUUCCCGGGCCUUGCACUCACCACCCGUCAA
This 972-nucleotide ribosomal RNA is filed under the name uncultured bacterium. RNAcentral's name for it is "bacterial SSU rRNA". It matches the Rfam family "Bacterial small subunit ribosomal RNA", at positions 406 to 1400 of the family's 1533-position model. The record is from RNAcentral.